AACCCAGUGGCGCAGUAGUUAGCGCAUCGAGCUUAUGCGGAAAAAUUUAUGCCUCUCGAUGGUCGCGAGUUCAAAUCUCGCCUGGGUUA
Filobasidium floriforme is the source of this 89-nucleotide non-coding RNA. Lineage: Eukaryota; Fungi; Basidiomycota; Tremellomycetes; Filobasidiales; Filobasidiaceae. The record is from the annotation of a RefSeq genome assembly.